AUGUGUGAGUCUCGCAAGGAAGGAGGAAUGGGCUUUAGGGACCCUGAGGCGUUCAAUCAAGCACUGUUAGCUAAACAGGCUUGGCGGCUCUAUCAGAGGCCUACAUCAUUAUGUGCUUGUGUUCUAAAGGCGCGCUACUACCCUCAUUGCUCCAUUCUGAAUGCGACUUGCCUGACGGCGGGCUUGUUCACUUUCAGAAGCAUCAUCUAUGGAAGGGAGCUGCUGCGGGCGGGCUCAAUUUGGCGAAUUGGCGAUGGUUCCUCGGUGAGUAUCCAUCACAGUAACUGGAUACCGAGGGCUGGGUGUAUGAGGCCACUGGGCUAG
RNAcentral lists this ribosomal RNA (324 nucleotides) under Triticum aestivum (bread wheat). RNAcentral's name for it is "partial small subunit ribosomal RNA". Lineage: Eukaryota; Viridiplantae; Streptophyta; Magnoliopsida; Poales; Poaceae. The record is from RNAcentral.